This is a non-coding RNA of Actinia tenebrosa (Australian red waratah sea anemone), 72 nucleotides long. NCBI's taxonomy places the organism in Eukaryota, Metazoa, Cnidaria, Anthozoa, Actiniaria, Actiniidae. The record is from the annotation of a RefSeq genome assembly.
GGGGAUGUAGCUCAGUGGUAGAGCGUCCGCUUUGCAUGCGGAAGGCCCGGGGUUCGAUACCCCGCAUCUCCA